This 533-nucleotide unclassified non-coding RNA is filed under the name Hevea brasiliensis (rubber tree). Lineage: Eukaryota; Viridiplantae; Streptophyta; Magnoliopsida; Malpighiales; Euphorbiaceae. The record is from RNAcentral.
GCUCUUUCGAGAUGACAGCUGUUACUCACACAGAUGGGAAACCGAGUAGAGUAUAAUUUACCAAACGUCGAAGAGUACGUUUCUGAAUUCCCCCUUUGUUUUUACGUUCACGUCGGUUACAGAACCAGAGGAGAGCUUGAUUGGCUAGCUUAAAAAGCUUAUUUCAUAUUUUUAUUAAUCGCGUUAGAUCCGCGUCGUGGGAUAGUGAUAGCGCUAUAAAACCCACCACUCUCUGUGAGCAAAAACCAUCAGUUACAAAACAAGCAGCGCUUUUACGAGCUCGAAGAGGCUAUUCAGUUCUUAACUUACUUUCGUUAAACCAGCUUUUCACUUGUUUUUAUUUUUUCCCCCUAAGUUUUCUGUGAUUCUUGAUCUGAAUGGCGGAGCAGGAUCACCACAAGAGCCAUGAGUCUGAGACCCCUGUCGUUGGUGGGGGUGCAGCUGUAGAGACCAAGGAUCGUGGGCUUUUUGAUUUCAUGGGGAAGAAAGAGGAAGAGAAGCCUCAAGAAGAGGUGAUCGUCACAGAGUUUGAA